Molecule: ribosomal RNA, 774 nt
Filed under: uncultured Neocallimastigales
Lineage: Eukaryota; Fungi; Neocallimastigomycota; Neocallimastigomycetes; Neocallimastigales
Description: partial large subunit ribosomal RNA
Rfam family: Eukaryotic large subunit ribosomal RNA
Source: RNAcentral
CGCAUCUGUGCAUGCAGCAUAUCAAUAAGCGGAGGAAAAGAAACUAACAAGGAUUCCCCUAGUAACGGCGAGUGAAGCGGGAAGAGCUCAAAUUUGAAAUCUUAAAGGGUUUCCCUUUACGAAUUGUAGUUUAAAGAAGUGUUUUCUGUUGAGGUUUUGGUAAAAGUUCUUUGGAAUAGGACAUCAUAGAGGGUGAGAAUCCCGUAUUUGACCUUUACUUUCAACUUUGUGAUACACUUUCAAAGAGUCGGAUUGUUUGGGAAUGCAGUCCAAAAUGGGUGGUAAAUUUCAUCUAAAGCUAAAUAUUGGCGAGAGACCGAUAGCGAACAAGUACCGUGAGGGAAAGAUGAAAAGAACUUUGAAAAGAGAGUUAAACAGUCCGUGAAAUUGUCAAAAGGGAAGCGUUUGACACCAGUGUUGUUUUUCUGAAAAUCAAUUAAAGAACUGUUUAUGCUAAGUUGUUUAGACUUUAUCAGCUAACUGUUUAGUUUUGAGCUUUUCUUUAAUGCACUUUUCAGUUAACAAGUCAACAUCAAUUUCUUUUGCUGUAAAAAAGCUUGAGGAAGGUGGCUUGAGAUUCGUCUUAAGUGUUUAUAGCCUCUUGCCUAUGCAGUCGGAGAGAUUGAGGUCUGCAGCGUAGAUCCUUCGGGGCUAAAUGCAUUUGUGCUAAGUUAUAGCAUUUUAUAGACAACUUGUUGACUAUGAUUUGUCUUGUAGCUUACUCGCUUAUGUUAUUUUACCUACGCUUAGGAUGUUGAACGCGCACAGAGUCUC